This 1328-nucleotide ribosomal RNA is filed under the name Kocuria sp. RNAcentral's name for it is "bacterial SSU rRNA". It matches the Rfam family "Bacterial small subunit ribosomal RNA", at positions 32 to 1369 of the family's 1533-position model. The record is from RNAcentral. Lineage: Bacteria; Bacillati; Actinomycetota; Actinomycetes; Micrococcales; Micrococcaceae.
AACGCUGGCGGCGUGCUUAACACAUGCAAGUCGAACGAUGAUGCCCAGCUUGCUGGGCGGAUUAGUGGCGAACGGGUGAGUAAUACGUGAGUAACCUGCCCUUGACUCUGGGAUAAGCCUGGGAAACUGGGUCUAAUACUGGAUACUACCUCUUACCGCAUGGUGGGUGGUGGAAAGGGUUUUACUGGUUUUGGAUGGGCUCACGGCCUAUCAGCUUGUUGGUGGGGUAAUGGCUCACCAAGGCGACGACGGGUAGCCGGCCUGAGAGGGUGACCGGCCACACUGGGACUGAGACACGGCCCAGACUCCUACGGGAGGCAGCAGUGGGGAAUAUUGCACAAUGGGCGGAAGCCUGAUGCAGCGACGCCGCGUGAGGGAUGACGGCCUUCGGGUUGUAAACCUCUUUCAGUAGGGAAGAAGCGAGAGUGACGGUACCUGCAGAAGAAGCGCCGGCUAACUACGUGCCAGCAGCCGCGGUAAUACGUAGGGCGCAAGCGUUGUCCGGAAUUAUUGGGCGUAAAGAGCUCGUAGGCGGUUUGUCGCGUCUGCUGUGAAAGCCCGGGGCUCAACCCCGGGUCUGCAGUGGGUACGGGCAGACUAGAGUGCAGUAGGGGAGACUGGAAUUCCUGGUGUAGCGGUGAAAUGCGCAGAUAUCAGGAGGAACACCGAUGGCGAAGGCAGGUCUCUGGGCUGUUACUGACGCUGAGGAGCGAAAGCAUGGGGAGCGAACAGGAUUAGAUACCCUGGUAGUCCAUGCCGUAAACGUUGGGCACUAGGUGUGGGGGACAUUCCACGUUUUCCGCGCCGUAGCUAACGCAUUAAGUGCCCCGCCUGGGGAGUACGGCCGCAAGGCUAAAACUCAAAGGAAUUGACGGGGGCCCGCACAAGCGGCGGAGCAUGCGGAUUAAUUCGAUGCAACGCGAAGAACCUUACCAAGGCUUGACAUUCACCGGACCGCCCCAGAGAUGGGGUUUCCCUUCGGGGCUGGUGGACAGGUGGUGCAUGGUUGUCGUCAGCUCGUGUCGUGAGAUGUUGGGUUAAGUCCCGCAACGAGCGCAACCCUCGUUCUAUGUUGCCAGCACGUGAUGGUGGGGACUCAUAGGAGACUGCCGGGGUCAACUCGGAGGAAGGUGGGGAUGACGUCAAAUCAUCAUGCCCCUUAUGUCUUGGGCUUCACGCAUGCUACAAUGGCCGGUACAAAGGGUUGCGAUACUGUGAGGUGGAGCUAAUCCCAAAAAGCCGGUCUCAGUUCGGAUUGAGGUCUGCAACUCGACCUCAUGAAGUCGGAGUCGCUAGUAAUCGCAGAUCAUCAACGCUGCGGUGAAUAC